AUGGUGGAAUUUGCCAGCGGUGUGAAAGAAAUCGCCUUAAAUCUUGAGAAUGAGAAUGUAGGUAUUGUUGUCUUUGGUAGUGAUACCGUUAUUAAAGAAGGAGAUCUUGUCAAGCGCACUGGAUCUAUUGUGGAUGUUCCUGCGGGAAAGGCCGUGUUAGGCCGUGUGGUCGACGCCUUGGGAGUACCUAUUGAUGGAAAAGGGGCUCUAAGCGAUCACGAACGAAGACGUGUCGAAAUGAAAGCCCUAGGGAUUAUUGAACAUAAAUAUGUGCACGAACCCAUGCAAACAUGCUUAAAAGCAGUGGAUAGCCCGGUUCCUAUAGGCUGUGGUCAACGAGAACUUAUAAUCGGGGACAGAGAAACUGGAAAAACUGCAAUAGCUAUCGAUACUAUAUUGAACCAAAAGCAAAUGAACUCAAGGGACACAAAUGAGAGUGAGACAUUGUAUUGUGUCUAUGUUGCGAUUGGACAAAAAUGCUUUGGAAUAUUCCAUUCUUGUAGCAGCCACCGCUUCGGAUCCUGCUCCUCUGCAAUUUCUGGCCCCAUAUUUAGGGUGUGCCAUGGGGGAAUAUUUCCGCAAUAA
This 585-nucleotide ribosomal RNA is filed under the name Triticum aestivum (bread wheat). RNAcentral describes it as "partial small subunit ribosomal RNA". Lineage: Eukaryota; Viridiplantae; Streptophyta; Magnoliopsida; Poales; Poaceae. The record is from RNAcentral.